Molecule: ribosomal RNA, 492 nt
Filed under: uncultured bacterium
Lineage: Bacteria
Description: partial 16S ribosomal RNA
Rfam family: Bacterial small subunit ribosomal RNA
Source: RNAcentral
AGUGAACGCUGGCGGUAGGCCUAACACAUGCAAGUCGAACGGCAGCACAGUAAGAGCUUGCUCUUACGGGUGGCGAGUGGCGGACGGGUGAGGAAUCCAUCGGAAUCUACUUUUUCGUGGGGGAUCACGUAGGGAAACUUACGCUAAUACCGCAUACGCCCUACGGGUGAAAGCAGGGGAUCUUCGGACCUUGCGCGAUUGAAUGAGCCGAUGUCGGAUUAGCUAGUUGGCGGGGUAAAGGCCCACCAAGGCGACGAUCCGUAGCUGGUCUGAGAGGAUGAUCAGCCACACUGGAACUGAGACACGGUCCAGACUCCUACGGGAGGCAGCAGUGGGGAAUAUUGGACAAUGGGCGCAAGCCUGAUCCAGCCAUACCGCGUGGGUGAAGAAGGCCUUCGGGUUGUAAAGCCCUUUUGUUGGGAAAGAAAAGCAGCAGGUUAAUACCCCGCUGUUCUGACGGUACCCAAAGAAUAAGCACCGGCUAACUUCGUG